Molecule: ribosomal RNA, 253 nt
Filed under: uncultured bacterium
Lineage: Bacteria
Description: partial 16S ribosomal RNA
Rfam family: Bacterial small subunit ribosomal RNA
Source: RNAcentral
AACGUAGGACACAAGCGUUAUCCGGAGUUACUGGGCGUAAAGAGCGCGUAGGCGGUUUGUUAAGUCUGCUAUGAAAGCACCUGGCUAAACUGGGUGAGGCUGGCGGAUACUGGCAAGCUAGAGUGAGACAGAGGCAGAUGGAAUUCCGCGUGUAGUGGUGAAAUGCGUAGAGAUGCGGAGGAACACCAGUGGCGAAGGCGGUCUGCUGGGUCUCAACUGACGCUGAGGCGCGAAAGCUAGGGGAGCGAACAGG